This 518-nucleotide ribosomal RNA is filed under the name uncultured bacterium. RNAcentral describes it as "bacterial SSU rRNA". It matches the Rfam family "Bacterial small subunit ribosomal RNA", at positions 8 to 502 of the family's 1533-position model. The record is from RNAcentral.
AGAGUUUGAUCCUGGCUCAGAAUGAACGCUGGCGGCGUGCUUAACACAUGCAAGUCGCACGAGAACGCUUCAGCUUGCUGGAGCUAGUAAAGUGGCGCACGGGUGAGUAACGCGUGGGUAACCUGCCCUUGAAUCGGGAAUAACUUCGCGAAAGCGUAGCUAAUACCGGAUACUGCCCCUAAGGCUGUGGCCCUGGGGAUGAAAGGUGACCUCUUCAUGAAAGUUGCCGUUUGGGGAGGGGCUCGCGUACCAUUAGCUUGUUGGCGGGGUAAUAGCCCACCAAGGCUACGAUGGUUAGCUGGUCUGAGAGGAUGAUCAGCCACACUGGAACUGAAACACGGUCCAGACUCCUACGGGAGGCAGCAGUGAGGAAUUUUGCGCAAUGGGGGAAACCCUGACGCAGCAACGCCGCGUGAGUGAAGAAGGCUUUCGGGUCGUAAAGCUCUGUCAAGUGGGAAAAAAUACUAUCGAUAAAUAGUCGAUAGGAUUGAUGUACCAUUAGAGAAGCACCGCUAACU